AAAAAGGUAAUUUUUACAGAAAUUUUAAAAAUGGGUGUUUGAAUUGUUCAGACAAACUUUAGUUCAGUCUAAAAUCAAAAUCAUAUUACAGGGGAGGUAGACAUACACUAGACAUGGACUGGGUCAUGUUAUUACUUAGAAUGUAAUAGAAUUUUAACAACAAUUUUACAUGUUUUAUUAAAUUCUUUAAAAGAGCGGUGAACAGAAGAUCUCUGUGUAGAACUGUGGAAUUAAACAGUUUUAAAAUAAUGAGAUCGAUACAGAACCUUCAGUAGGUCUUCAGAGAAAAGGUUAAUGCGUCUGUUCUUCUCCCAUUAACGCAGGCCGCUCCCUACGACUCUGUCUGUCACAGAGCAGGAGGAACACAUCAGCUACUAGAGAGACCAACGUGAAAAAGUGCGCUUCCUCUCUGACCUGAAUCGAUGCAGGCAGAGACCAAGACAAUGACACGUUUAAAAAGGAGGAAGGAAAAUCAUUUGGAGGAUAAAAGUCAGAAUGUGCAUCACUGUGAAUCGUUACUCCUGCUGAUGUCUCAUCGGGUUCCUGGACAGACGGGGAAGAAGUGGUCAGGACCUGGAUUCAGAACGGAGGCUGAACAAAAAGCUUUGCAAGAAAUCCUUCUGUUGCAGGUCCCUCGUUCUCCCUGGAGCUCACCGACGGCUCGGACUCAGCUGCCUUCUAGCCACUGAUGGUCCGGAGAUUUCCUGCCAAUCUGCCAGCGAACACAGGACAUAGUAACACAUGUGACUCAUGGUCACAGUGUGAAAGUGCCAAAAUAAAUUGAUAUAUGUAUAUAUAAAAAAACAUUGUGCAGUAUGAAUAAAAAUCACAAAGGAGGGAG
Xiphophorus couchianus (Monterrey platyfish) is the source of this 841-nucleotide long non-coding RNA. RefSeq lists it as uncharacterized. The record is from RefSeq and is a predicted model, not a curated record. The transcript has 2 exons. Lineage: Eukaryota; Metazoa; Chordata; Actinopteri; Cyprinodontiformes; Poeciliidae.